Long non-coding RNA from Oncorhynchus tshawytscha (Chinook salmon), 293 nucleotides. NCBI's taxonomy places the organism in Eukaryota, Metazoa, Chordata, Actinopteri, Salmoniformes, Salmonidae. The record is from Ensembl.
GUAGAGUAGAGGGUAGAGUAGACGGCAUUAGAGUAGAGGGUAGAGUAGAGGGUAGAGUAGAGGGUAGAGUAGAGGGUAGAGUAGACGGCGGUAGAGUAGAGGGUAGAGUAGAGGGUAGAGUAGAGGGUAGAGUAGAGGGUAGAGUAGAGGGUAGAGUAGAGGGUAGAGUAGACGGCAUUAGAGUAGAGGGUAGAGUAGAGGGUAGAGUAGACGGCAUUAGAGUAGAGGGUAGAGUAGACGGCAUUAGAGUAGAGGGUAGAGUAGAGGGUAGAGUAGACGGCAUUAGAGUAGAG